AACAUAAACUUGAGGAAUAUAAGAAUUUAGGUGUUUCAUUGCAUAAGGUUUCUAUUGGCCUGUUUGUAAAAUGCUUACAACUAUUGUUGACUAUCUGUAAAAUGCUUACAACUUUUGUUGACUAUCUGUAAAAUGCUUACAACUUUUGUUGACUAUCUGUCCAUAACUUUGUUAGGGUUGAAUUCCAAAUCAAGUUAUUUUAAAAGCCUUCCGUGAAUUAUGCUUGGCUAGCUGUACUACAUCACAAUAUUGCUUGCCCUGCUGAAGUACGAACUCUACACAGGAAAGCAGAAGGGCCUGGAGUAGUUGCAGUUGAGUCACUUGACAUAUAUGUGUACAAGUUUGAUCCUAGCCGGUGGGGAGAUUUGGCGUGCUCAGCGGUGUGCCAUUGGAAAAGCUUCAGACUGGCUCUGCUAGAGGUUUUAAUGCUAUGUGCAGACAUGGUCUUUUGACUUUCUAAAUUUGGACAAGUUUUUGUAGGUGAGUGAUUUUUGUGCCCUAUGGCUGGAAGCGUCCUGAUAAUACACAAUGUGCUUAUACAAAUCAUUUGUUAAAAAAGCGCUAAGCUCUUAAGUAGUCGCUUAGGGUUCGCUCAACACUUAAGCAGAUGCUUAGUUAUGCUUUUCUGAACAAUGAUUCAAAUAAACCUUAUAUUUUAUACAUCGUUUUCUCUUUUAUCUGAAGUUUCAUUCAUACAAUAUCUUUUUAUAUGUUGCAAUUGACUUUUGAUAUACAGGAAGUGCAGACCAUUUUGCUUCUUUCAGAUCUCAAUACAGCUAGGAGACAUGUCACUGUCUAUGCUUGCAUAGCUGUGUAUGCAUUACAAAGAAAAUCAUUUUAUGCAUCUUGGCACCUAGCUUAUUGUACCGACUGUCUUUACAUGGUGAAACUUCCGCAGUCACUGAAGUCUUUAUAGUAUAAUUCUUUCAAGUUCAUGUUAUAGUGACGAGCAAAUACUGUAAAAUGCAUGUAUAUCUAGGUUAGAUAUUUUGUUAUCCAUAAAUUUAACUGAGCAUAGAAAGAACAUACUGGAACAGAGCAGUUUUUGUGUAAUACUGUCAUCUUGAAGUGAACUGAAUCUUUAGUGUCAAGGCCUAAUUGUUUGACAUUUAGUUAGUUGCACAUAAUAAUGCAUUUAUGUCUGUUAGGAUACGUAAUUGCGGCCACCUGAACCUUUGCUUCCCUUCUCUCAGUUUAUCUAGCUGCAACUGCUAAUUGGUCACAAAACUGCAAAUUAAUGUGUCAUGCACAACAUAGUUUGAUAAUACCACUGCUGGUGCUUCAUGGUUCAAAAAUUACAUGUGUACACAUUCUGUAAUUUUUCCUUUAUGUCAAAUGCUGAGUUUGUUUUUCGAUUUAGAAAAGUGAUAUAUGCUAUGUUCACAAUUUUAAGUGUUACAAAACCAUUCUAAAAACUUAAAACGGUAUUUUAACUACAAAAGGGCAUCACGCUGUUCCAUGUUGUGGUCUUCCUUGCAGGCAUGUAAAAUUUGAGGCUCGAGGCUUCGUCACAAGAUGUGACCUGUCUGGCUUAGCUUCUUCUCGGGAGAUUGCCAUCAAGAACUGAUAGGUGCAAGUCUCUUUGCGAUCCGGUGCCGCCCUUAUUUAGGUGCCUUUAUGCUCAUCAUGUGCCAGCAUCAACUAGAUGAUGCUUGGCGAACAGAUAGAAUGAUGUAAGUGCGAUAAUGUGGAAGCAAUAAGAACAAAAGACUGAUCCCAGCAGGCAAAAUACAAUUCUAACACUA
Long non-coding RNA from Lolium rigidum, 1745 nucleotides. RefSeq lists it as uncharacterized. Lineage: Eukaryota; Viridiplantae; Streptophyta; Magnoliopsida; Poales; Poaceae. The record is from RefSeq and is a predicted model, not a curated record. The transcript is spliced from 2 exons.